Long non-coding RNA from Corapipo altera (White-ruffed manakin), 183 nucleotides. RefSeq lists it as uncharacterized. The record is from RefSeq and is a predicted model, not a curated record. NCBI's taxonomy places the organism in Eukaryota, Metazoa, Chordata, Aves, Passeriformes, Pipridae. The transcript has 3 exons.
AUCCCAAAGGGAUGUCAGAGCAGCCUGAGAGGUAUCAGAAUUAUACACAGAGGAUUUUGUUGGAAAAUGUUUCUGUAUACUCCUUCGGAGGGAAGGAAGCAAAGGGAAGUAGGCUGCUCAGAGGAAAGCAUGAUGCAAUGCCUCAGCACAAGUCAUGGACACCUUCCAUGGCUCCAGAUCCAC